UUUCCUACGGGUGGCUGCAGUGGGGAAUUUUGGACAAUGGGCGCAAGCCUGAUCCAGCCAUGCCGCGUGCGGGAAGAAGGCCUUCGGGUUGUAAACCGCUUUUGUCAGGGAAGAAAAGCUCUGGGCUAAUACCUCGGAGUGAUGACGGUACCUGAAGAAUAAGCACCGGCUAACUACGUGCCAGCAGCCGCGGUAAUACGUAGGGUGCAAGCGUUAAUCGGAAUUACUGGGCGUAAAGCGUGCGCAGGCGGUUGUGCAAGCCAGAUGUGAAAUCCCCGGGCUCAACCUGGGAACUGCAUUUGUGACUGCACGGCUGGAGUGCGGCAGAGGGGGAUGGAAUUCCGGGUGUAGCAGUGAAAUGCGUAGAUAUGCGGAGGAACACCGAUGGCGAAGGCAAUCCCCUGGGCCUGCACUGACGCUCAUGCACGAAAGCGUGGGGAGCAAACAGGAUUAGAUACCCUAGUAGUCC
This 469-nucleotide ribosomal RNA is filed under the name uncultured Comamonadaceae bacterium. Its description in RNAcentral is "bacterial SSU rRNA". It matches the Rfam family "Bacterial small subunit ribosomal RNA", at positions 335 to 796 of the family's 1533-position model. Lineage: Bacteria; Pseudomonadati; Pseudomonadota; Betaproteobacteria; Burkholderiales; Comamonadaceae. The record is from RNAcentral.